Molecule: ribosomal RNA, 253 nt
Filed under: uncultured bacterium
Lineage: Bacteria
Description: partial 16S ribosomal RNA
Rfam family: Bacterial small subunit ribosomal RNA
Source: RNAcentral
UACGAAGGGGGCUAGCGUUGCUCGGAAUCACUGGGCGUAAAGCGCACGUAGGCGGAUCGUUAAGUCAGGGGUGAAAUCCUGGAGCUCAACUCCAGAACUGCCUUUGAUACUGGCGAUCUUGAGUUCGGGAGAGGUGAGUGGAGCUGCGAGUGUAGAGGUGAAAUUCGUAGAUAUUCGCAAGAACACCAGUGGCGAAGGCGGCUCACUGGCCCGAUACUGACGCUGAGGUGCGAAGGCGUGGGGAGCGAACGGG